UGGAUCCAGACUUUGAUCAUGGCUCAGGACGAACGCUGGCGGCGUGCCUAAUACAUGCAAGUCGAGCGAGCUUGCCUAGAUGAUUUUAGUGCUGCACUAAAUGAAACUAGAUACAAGCGAGCGGCGGACGGGUGAGUAACACGUGGGUAACCUGCCCCAAGAGACUGGGAUAACACCUGGAAACAGAUGCUAAUACCGGAUAACAACACUAGACGCAUGUCUAGAGUUUGAAAGAUGGUUCUGCUAUCACUCUUGGAUGGACCUGCGGUGCAUUAGCUAGUUGGUAAGGUAACGGCUUACCAAGGCAAUGAUGCAUAGCCGAGUUGAGAGACUGAUCGGCCACAUUGGGACUGAGACACGGCCCAAACUCCUACGGGAGGCAGCAGUAGGGAAUCUUCCACAAUGGACGAAAGUCUGAUGGAGCAACGCCGCGUGAGUGAAGAAGGGUUUCGGCUCGUAAAGCUCUGUUGGUAGUGAAGAAGGAUAGAGGUAGUAACUGGCCUUUAUUUGACGGUAAUUACUUAGAAAGUCACGGCUAACUACGUGCCAGCAGCCGCGGUAAUACGUAGGUGGCAAGCGUUGUCCGGAUUUAUUGGGCGUAAAGCGAGUGCAGGCGGUUCAAUAAGUCUGAUGUGAAAGCCUUCGGCUCAACCGGAGAAUUGCAUCAGAAACUGUUGAACUUGAGUGCAGAAGAGGAGAGUGGAACUCCAUGUGUAGCGGUGGAAUGCGUAGAUAUAUGGAAGAACACCAGUGGCGAAGGCGGCUCUCUGGUCUGCAACUGACGCUGAGGCUCGAAAGCAUGGGUAGCGAACAGGAUUAGAUACCCUGGUAGUCCAUGCCGUAAACGAUGAGUGCUAAGUGUUGGGAGGUUUCCGCCUCUCAGUGCUGCAGUUAACGCAUUAAGCACUCCGCCUGGGGAGUACGACCGCAAGGUUGCAACUCAAAUGAAUUGACGGA
Molecule: ribosomal RNA, 957 nt
Filed under: uncultured Bacillota bacterium
Lineage: Bacteria; Bacillati; Bacillota
Description: bacterial SSU rRNA
Rfam family: Bacterial small subunit ribosomal RNA
Source: RNAcentral